AGUGGGAUAGCUGGGUCAAAUGGUGGUUCCAUAUUCUAAGGAAUCUCCAUACUACUUUCCAUAUUGGCUGCACCAUUUUGUAGUCCCACCAGGAAU
Molecule: microRNA precursor, 96 nt
Filed under: Marmota monax (woodchuck)
Lineage: Eukaryota; Metazoa; Chordata; Mammalia; Rodentia; Sciuridae
Source: RNAcentral